UGGGGAAUUUUGGACAAUGGGCGCAAGCCUGAUCCAGCCAUGCCGCGUGAGUGAAGAAGGCCUUCGGGUUGUAAAGCUCUUUCGGCGGGGACGAAACGGUCCGUAUUAACACUACGGACUUCUGACGGUACCCGCAGAAGAAGCACCGGCUAACUACGUGCCAGCAGCCGCGGUAAUACGUAGGGUGCAGGCGUUAAUCGGAAUUACUGGGCGUAAAGCGUGCGCAGGCGGUCUCUUAAGACAGGUGUGAAAUCCCCGGGCUUAACCUGGGAACUGCGCUUGUAACUGAGAGGCUUGAGUGUGGCAGAGGGGGGUGGAAUUCCACGUGUAGCAGUGAAAUGCGUAGAGAUGUGGAGGAACACCGAUGGCGAAGGCAGCCCCCUGGGCUAACACUGACGCUCAUGCACGAAAGCGUGGGGAGCAAACAG
This 428-nucleotide ribosomal RNA is filed under the name uncultured bacterium. RNAcentral's name for it is "bacterial SSU rRNA". It matches the Rfam family "Bacterial small subunit ribosomal RNA", at positions 355 to 775 of the family's 1533-position model. The record is from RNAcentral.